This 275-nucleotide unclassified non-coding RNA is filed under the name uncultured fungus. RNAcentral's name for it is "partial contains small subunit ribosomal RNA, internal transcribed spacer 1, and 5.8S ribosomal RNA". The stretch from base 1 to 73 matches the Rfam family "Eukaryotic small subunit ribosomal RNA", at positions 1759 to 1831 of the family's 1831-position model. Lineage: Eukaryota; Fungi. The record is from RNAcentral.
GCAAACUUGGUCAUUUAGAGGAAGUAAAAGUCGUAACAAGGUUUCCGUAGGUGAACCUGCGGAAGGAUCAUUAAAAAUUUGAGAUUCAUUAUUCAUCCUUUGUGUGCACUGAUUAAAGUAUCAACUUUUGGGAGAAUUAGUUGAUUCUCCCAGAGUUUUUUUAUCUUUUAAAAAUUUGAUUCUCUUGUCUGAAAUGUAAAAAUUUUUUUAAUUAAAAAUAAAAUACAACUUUCAACAACGGAUCUCUUGGCUCUCGCAUCGAUGAAGAACGCAGC